RNAcentral lists this ribosomal RNA (1343 nucleotides) under uncultured bacterium. RNAcentral's name for it is "16S ribosomal RNA". It matches the Rfam family "Bacterial small subunit ribosomal RNA", at positions 28 to 1378 of the family's 1533-position model. The record is from RNAcentral.
GACGAACGCUGGCGGCGUGCUUAACACAUGCAAGUCGAACGGAAAGGCCCUGCUUUUGUGGGGUGCUCGAGUGGCGAACGGGUGAGUAACACGUGAGUAACCUGCCCUUGACUUUGGGAUAACUUCAGGAAACUGGGGCUAAUACCGGAUAGGAGCUCCUGCUGCAUGGUGGGGGUUGGAAAGUUUCGGCGGUUGGGGAUGGACUCGCGGCUUAUCAGCUUGUUGGUGGGGUAGUGGCUUACCAAGGCUUUGACGGGUAGCCGGCCUGAGAGGGUGACCGGCCACAUUGGGACUGAGAUACGGCCCAGACUCCUACGGGAGGCAGCAGUGGGGAAUAUUGCACAAUGGGCGGAAGCCUGAUGCAGCAACGCCGCGUGCGGGAUGACGGCCUUCGGGUUGUAAACCGCUUUCGCCUGUGACGAAGCGUGAGUGACGGUAAUGGGUAAAGAAGCACCGGCUAACUACGUGCCAGCAGCCGCGGUGAUACGUAGGGUGCGAGCGUUGUCCGGAUUUAUUGGGCGUAAAGGGCUCGUAGGUGGUUGAUCGCGUCGGAAGUGUAAUCUUGGGGCUUAACCCUGAGCGUGCUUUCGAUACGGGUUGACUUGAGGAAGGUAGGGGAGAAUGGAAUUCCUGGUGGAGCGGUGGAAUGCGCAGAUAUCAGGAGGAACACCAGUGGCGAAGGCGGUUCUCUGGGCCUUUCCUGACGCUGAGGAGCGAAAGCGUGGGGAGCGAACAGGCUUAGAUACCCUGGUAGUCCACGCUGUAAACGGUGGGUACUAGGUGUGGGGUCCAUUCCACGGGUUCCGUGCCGUAGCUAACGCUUUAAGUACCCCGCCUGGGGAGUACGGCCGCAAGGCUAAAACUCAAAGGAACUGACGGGGCCCCGCACAAGCGGCGGAGCAUGCGGAUUAAUUCGAUGCAACGCGUAGAACCUUACCCGGGUUUGACAUGGAUCGGGAGUGCUCAGAGAUGGGUGUGCCACUUUUGGGGUCGGUUCACAGGUGGUGCAUGGCUGUCGUCAGCUCAUGUCGUGAGAUGUUGGGUUAAGUCCCGCAACGAGCGCAACCCUUGUUCACUGUUGCCAGCACGUUAUGGUGGGGACUCAGUGGAGACCGCCGGGGUCAACUCGGAGGAAGGUGGGGAUGACGUCAAGUCAUCAUGCCCCUUAUGUCCAGGGCUUCACGCAUGCUACAAUGGCUGGUACAGAGAGUGGCGAGCCUGUGAGGGUGAGCGAAUCUCGGAAAGCCGGUCUCAGUUCGGAUUGGGGUCUGCAACUCGACCUCAUGAAGUCGGAGUCGCUAGUAAUCGCAGAUCAGCAACGCUGCGGUGAAUACGUUCCCGGG